GGGGAAUUUAGGUCAAUGGGCGCAAGCCUGAACCAGCCAUGCCGCGUGCAGGAUGAAGCAUCUAUGGUGUGUAAACUGCUUUUGUACGGGAAGAAACCACCCCUCGUGAGGGGUAUUGACGGUACCGUAAGAAUAAGGAUCGGCUAACUCCGUGCCAGCAGCCGCGGUAAUACGGAGGAUCCAAGCGUUAUCCGGAAUCAUUGGGUUUAAAGGGUCCGUAGGCGGGUCUGUAAGUCAGUGGUGAAAUCUCCCCGCUCAACGGGGAAACUGCCAUUGAUACUGCAGGUCUUGAAUUAUUGGGAAGUAACUAGAAUAUGUAGUGUAGCGGUGAAAUGCUUAGAUAUUACAUGGAAUACCAAUUGCGAAGGCAGGUUACUACUAAUGGAUUGACGCUGAUGGACGAAAGCGUGGGGAGCGAACA
This 421-nucleotide ribosomal RNA is filed under the name uncultured bacterium. RNAcentral describes it as "bacterial SSU rRNA". It matches the Rfam family "Bacterial small subunit ribosomal RNA", at positions 356 to 774 of the family's 1533-position model. The record is from RNAcentral.